ACUUACAUAAUAUAAAAAUUAUAUUUGACUUCCAAUCAAAAAAUCUAUUCUAAUAGUGUAAGUA
RNAcentral lists this transfer RNA (64 nucleotides) under Staphylinoidea sp. 3 KM-2017. RNAcentral describes it as "tRNA-Gly". Lineage: Eukaryota; Metazoa; Arthropoda; Insecta; Coleoptera. The record is from RNAcentral.